GUCACGCACACUGAGCAAGCCUACAAAAUGCUAUUCCGUUGGUACCUCACCCCCCAACGCCUGGCCAUCAUGCACCAAAUACCAGCCAACACCUGCUGGAAACAAUGCGGAGAGACAGGAACGUUCCUCCACUGUUGGUGGACGUGCCCGAAACUCCAACCACUUUGGCAAGACACCACACGCCUAAUCUCCAAACUAAUAGACAAACCUUGUCCCUUAGACCCUUGGAUGCUCCUACUCUCCAAGCCAAUAG
Non-coding RNA from Pelobates cultripes (western spadefoot toad), 253 nucleotides. Lineage: Eukaryota; Metazoa; Chordata; Amphibia; Anura; Pelobatidae. The record is from the annotation of a GenBank genome assembly.